Aplysia californica (California sea hare) is the source of this 541-nucleotide long non-coding RNA. RefSeq lists it as uncharacterized. The record is from RefSeq and is a predicted model, not a curated record. The transcript has 4 exons. NCBI's taxonomy places the organism in Eukaryota, Metazoa, Mollusca, Gastropoda, Aplysiida, Aplysiidae.
ACGCGUACAUUUGACAUUUAAACGAAUAAUAUAUCUGGCCUUGUCUUGGUGACCUUCGUUUCGGCUCUCAAGCAGUCCACUGUUUCGAGUCAUCAUGCCUGAGAAGAUCCGUGCCGGUGGAGAACUGUUCAAGUUCCAGUGGACAGUCCUUUCUAGACUGCAGCAGUUUCCUUUUAAAUUCUAUUGGCAGAAUGGCAGAGUUUUCCGCUACUACUUCUACGCGGCUGCAGCUGCUGCGCCUCUCUUUAUGAUGCUCACCAAAGCGAGUUAUGCUCCUGCCAAUGUGAAACAGUGGGAAGAAAUCAGAAAUCACAGAAGACACACCUUCUUCGAACUUCCUCAUGAAUAAAAGCUGUGCGUGGAUAGGGGCAAGGCCGAUGGCUGCGCCACAUGUGUGUGAUAGUGAUCUGUGCUAGGCUGGACAGGACAUGGGACUGAGUGGCAUCUUCUUACAGUGUGACUCAAUUUUGUGUUUUGCUGAUUUACUUUCAUUUUGUAGGUUUGAAAGAAUACAAAAUACAACGUUCUUAAUAUUUGAAAA